RNAcentral lists this long non-coding RNA (417 nucleotides) under Aquilegia coerulea. Its description in RNAcentral is "long non-coding RNA (ACOE_LNC002369)". Lineage: Eukaryota; Viridiplantae; Streptophyta; Magnoliopsida; Ranunculales; Ranunculaceae. The record is from RNAcentral.
UGUUAACUCAUUGAAUCAGUCAGAACUCAGUACUCUUUCUUCUUCUCAGAAUAAACUGUUUACAAGUUUCUCUCUCAUCACAUCAUCAAAACAAUGAACAGAAUGCUAAAAACUUGCUUUCUUUCUUCUUCUUCUUCAUCUUUUAAGGUAAUCAAACAAAACCCAUUUCUUCUUUCUAUCUCUUUUGUAUAAAGUUUCAAUCUUUUUCAUCUUUUCUUCUGUUUUGCAGACUCCAUUGUUAUCUUUCUUCAACAUUCAGUUCAGAAAUCAUGGACGGUACAUCUCUUUCUCUCUCAUUUCUUUUUCUCUUUCUUGGGUUGUGUCAUAUGUGUAAGUUUUAACAUUCAAAUUGCAUAAAGUUUCAAUUUUUAAUCAAUUUUUUCUACAUUUUAGCUGAUUUUUAUUAUAGAAUAUGAU